GAAUGUGCCACGAAGAGUGGGCUAUUUCGAAUUUCUGAUGCUUUCUGAUAUUUUCGUUGGUAGCUUAGCUAGUUAGCGGUCAUACAAUUGUAAAAUAUUGUUAGCCAGUCAAGCCAGAUAGUGUUCUUGCUUAUAGACUUGUGUAGCCUACCCAGGUCAGUUAUUUAGCUAGCUAGUCAAAGAAGAGGACAAGGUUACUAAAUAAAGGUGGCUAGCUAACGGUAGUUAGCUAGGUACAGAAUCCAGUUCCACCCAAUAACGUAUCUGUGACACAACUGUUCUGCAGCAGGAUGAGUGGAACUGAAGGUGGAGAGCAGUCCCUGUUCUUUCUCAUUCUCCCUGAACUGAGGAAGCUGUGCUGUGUCACCCUGUCCUUGCAGUCUGAUGAUGGAGAAGUGAGAAACAAGCAGGUGAAAACAUGCAGGGAGCUGUUGUUAUUGUAUGCAGACAUCAUUGCCUCUCCGGUUUUGGGGUGCUUCUCGGAGAUCACAAUGGUGAUGGCG
This is a long non-coding RNA of Oncorhynchus kisutch (coho salmon), 503 nucleotides long. RefSeq lists it as uncharacterized. The record is from RefSeq and is a predicted model, not a curated record. NCBI's taxonomy places the organism in Eukaryota, Metazoa, Chordata, Actinopteri, Salmoniformes, Salmonidae. The transcript is spliced from 3 exons.